GACGAACGCUGGCGGCGUGCUUAACACAUGCAAGUCGAACGGUGAUCUUGAGAGCUUGCUCUUGGGUGAUCAGUGGCGAACGGGUGAGUAACACGUGAGUAACCUGCCCCUGACUCUAGAAUAACUUCGGGAAACCGAAGCUAAUACCGGAUACGACACAGAGCCGCAUGGUUUCUGUGUGGAAAGUUUUUCGGUUGGGGAUGGACUCGCGGCCUAUCAGCUUGUUGGUGAGGUAAUGGCUCACCAAGGCGACGACGGGUAGCCGGCCUGAGAGGGCGACCGGCCACACUGGGACUGAGACACGGCCCAGACUCCUACGGGAGGCAGCAGUGGGGAAUAUUGCACAAUGGGCGAAAGCCUGAUGCAGCGACGCCGCGUGAGGGAUGAAGGCCUUCGGGUUGUAAACCUCUUUCAGUAGGGAAGAAGCGCAAGUGACGGUACCUACAGAAGAAGCACCGGCUAACUACGUGCCAGCAGCCGCCGUAA
RNAcentral lists this ribosomal RNA (486 nucleotides) under uncultured bacterium. Its description in RNAcentral is "partial 16S ribosomal RNA". It matches the Rfam family "Bacterial small subunit ribosomal RNA", at positions 28 to 523 of the family's 1533-position model. The record is from RNAcentral.